Haplochromis burtoni (Burton's mouthbrooder) is the source of this 74-nucleotide non-coding RNA. NCBI's taxonomy places the organism in Eukaryota, Metazoa, Chordata, Actinopteri, Cichliformes, Cichlidae. The record is from the annotation of a RefSeq genome assembly.
GCUCCAGUGGCGCAAUCGGUGAGCGCGCGGUACUUAUAAUGCCGAGGUUGUGAGUUCAAGCCUCACCUGGAGCA